Sinocyclocheilus grahami is the source of this 185-nucleotide long non-coding RNA. RefSeq lists it as uncharacterized. The record is from RefSeq and is a predicted model, not a curated record. The transcript has 3 exons. NCBI's taxonomy places the organism in Eukaryota, Metazoa, Chordata, Actinopteri, Cypriniformes, Cyprinidae.
AGAUGAAAGUGUGGAAAAAGGAGGCUGUCCAGUUCCCACUACAGUGCGGCUACAUAAAAGGAAAGAAUGCUCACACACACACUGACAGGGAGCCAGGGUUUUUACCAUGUGAAGAGGAUUGCCAAAUGCAGAGUUAUUAAGGGCCAAAAAUGGAAGCAGGUGGAGUGGGAGCCAUGCAGACUAUG